CCGUGCAAAGGUAGCAUAAUCAMUUGUCUCUUAAAUAGGGACCUGUAUGAACGGCAUCACGAAGAUUUUACUGUCUCCCCUCACCGAUCUGUGAAACUAAUCCCCCUGUGAAAAAGCAGGAAUACAAAUACAAGACGAGAAGACCCUGUGGAGCUUAAAACUAGUAACACUUGCUUAUCCUCCUAAAAUAUUCCCACUCAACAUUAUGCUUACACCCUUUUCGGUUGGGGCAACCUUGGAGUAAAACAAAACCUCCACGCUGUCUAUAUUUCAGAACCUCAAUUCCACAAAUCAUUAAACUGACACAUUGACCCAUACACUUGAUCAACGAACUAAGUUACCCCAGGGAUAACAGCGCCAUCCACUUCAAGAGCACAUAUCGACAAGUGGGCUUACGACCUCGAUG
Molecule: ribosomal RNA, 406 nt
Filed under: Craugastor gabbi
Lineage: Eukaryota; Metazoa; Chordata; Amphibia; Anura; Craugastoridae
Description: partial 16S ribosomal RNA
Rfam family: Bacterial large subunit ribosomal RNA
Source: RNAcentral